UUCAUAAUUUACUGAGUUUUCAUUGCACAGCUAUUAAUGAAAAUUCCAUGUAACAACCUGGCAGCUAUUUUUCAAUGAGUGUUUUUUUGUUCUUUUAGGAGGCAACGCCCUUGCAUUUUAUGAAGGGAAUAUAUGAGACCUUCUGUUCCCAGAAUACAAGCUGACUCCUGCAUGUCCUGGUGUGGAUAGGGAAUUACUGAUGAAAACUUCUCCUCAUUUUCCAGGAAAUUGCACCAAAAAUAGAGUUCUCUGCAAGAACAACCAUUACAGAACUUCCAUUCAGUGCAGAAGAAAGAAUUAUGUAAGUAUUUAUGGUAAGGAUGCAGACCUGAUUACAAUUUUAUAACCUUUGGCUGGGUCUAUUUGAGUCUAGCUUUACUGUUGCCUUUGUAUCUAGGUACCUUAGGCAACAAUGGUAGGUCAGAUUAAAGGCCAUGCUAGGGGUCCUAGAUUUUGUUGUAACAACAGCAAAUCUGACUGACUGAGCCAAAGCCAUCCAUUCCUCAGUCUGCUAUCCCAGAUGCUCUCCUUUCCUAUUAUUAAGAAAUUCAUUCCAGGUAAAGCCCACAAAAAUAAAUAAUCGUUGCAUUGCUUUCUACUGAAGAUA
RNAcentral lists this long non-coding RNA (607 nucleotides) under Calidris pygmaea (Spoon-billed sandpiper). RNAcentral describes it as "lncRNA (ENSCPGG00000017787.1)". Lineage: Eukaryota; Metazoa; Chordata; Aves; Charadriiformes; Scolopacidae. The record is from RNAcentral.